GGGGCUAUAGCUCAGCUGGGAGAGCGCCUGCCUUGCACGCAGGAGGUCUGCGGUUCGAUCCCGCAU
Molecule: transfer RNA, 66 nt
Filed under: Vibrio parahaemolyticus V14/01
Lineage: Bacteria; Pseudomonadati; Pseudomonadota; Gammaproteobacteria; Vibrionales; Vibrionaceae
Description: partial tRNA-Ala
Rfam family: tRNA
About the family: Transfer RNA (tRNA) molecules are approximately 80 nucleotides in length. Their secondary structure includes four short double-helical elements and three loops (D, anti-codon, and T loops).
Source: RNAcentral